CUCGUAGGCGGUUCGUCGCGUCCGGUGUGAAAGUCCAUCGCUUAACGGUGGAUCCGCGCCGGGUACGGGCGGGCUUGAGUGCGGUAGGGGAGACUGGAAUUCCCGGUGUAACGGUGGAAUGUGUAGAUAUCGGGAAGAACACCAAUGGCGAAGGCAGGUCUCUGGGCCGUUACUGACGCUGAGGAGCGAAGGCGUGGGGAGCGAACA
This 207-nucleotide ribosomal RNA is filed under the name uncultured bacterium. RNAcentral's name for it is "partial 16S ribosomal RNA". It matches the Rfam family "Bacterial small subunit ribosomal RNA", at positions 568 to 774 of the family's 1533-position model. The record is from RNAcentral.